This 988-nucleotide long non-coding RNA is filed under the name Pan troglodytes (chimpanzee). Its description in RNAcentral is "lncRNA (ENSPTRG00000053280.1)". The record is from RNAcentral. Lineage: Eukaryota; Metazoa; Chordata; Mammalia; Primates; Hominidae.
GUGAAAGGAGGCCUUUGCAAAAUAGAAAAAGUACUUUCAUUCCAGAGAGAGCCCUAGGAAUAAAAAAAAAGAGGAAUCUGCAAAGAAAAGCAGUAGGGGAGAGAGCUAAUACCACUAGUUUCAUUCUCAUAAGGGAAAGAGAGACAUUUUAGAAAAGAUCUAUUGUGUGAACUUGAAAACAAGAUGUAGGGUCAGAAAUGCUGUGGUGGCAGGUCCGUGGAGGAAGUAGCCAUCAAAUAAUAGCCUUGAUUGCAAGCCAGUGUUAAUUAGGCUUGUGGGGCCCUCAAUGAGCAAAGAAGAUUGAGCUCUAACCAUCAGUUCCCCACAUGAAGGUUUAUUGUAAUAUGAAAAAGUUAUUUAAAUUUCACUUCACGUUGUCCUUUUGAAUCCUCGCAUUAAUAAAAUCGUUUUCAGUGGAAAUAGCAGCAGCAAGAAAUAGAAAAUACUAACAGCAAGAUUUUUUUUUUUAAUGCCCAUAAGAAGCAGCUUGGAAAUUGACACUCGGUUGCCAGGCACGUUUUACAGCUUUGCUCUUUACCAUGGACCAGAGAUAAUUUUCCUUAUGGAGAAUUUACAAGUUUCCAGAUGCAUUAUGCUGAAGAUAGCCAGGAUCCAGUACAAGGUUGGUGUCCCACUACAAAGCAAGGGCCUGCCACAACCAGAUGCAUGUUUCAACGACAUCGAAAGACUCACCUUGGACUCAUUGCUGACUUGUCAACCAGAACUCCAAUAUCUGAGUUUGUCAAGAUGAGCAGUUUUGCCAGCUCUUCAUUGUGAAGUGAGAGGAAGAUAUCUUGGAAAUGAGAGCGAAAAGACACCAGGACCAUGACUACUUUUACUUCCAUUCCCCAAUGCCCAUCCUCUCCAAACCUCAAAGUUUAUGGGUUGAUGAGGUCAUUUUGCCGAGGUCAUUUUGCCAAGGUCACAGACCUCAGGGCUGUUCUGGGAUAGGGACAUCAAGCUGUGUGUUCUGCCUCUUAUUUUAUUG